Molecule: long non-coding RNA, 367 nt
Organism: Lycium barbarum (goji berry)
Lineage: Eukaryota; Viridiplantae; Streptophyta; Magnoliopsida; Solanales; Solanaceae
Exons: 2
Source: RefSeq, a predicted model, not a curated record
AAAGAAUUAAAGUUGGAAAAACCUGAAAUGCACAACAUGCGACACCGGUGCAUCACAUGCGACUCGCAUGUUCAACAUGCGAGGGUAAUAUGCGUUUCGCAGAUGAGGCAGCCAAAGGAUCAACUCUCUGUCACAGGAUGCGACACGAGAUGCGACUCGCAUGCUCAACAUGCGAUGGAAUAUGCGAGUCGCACAUGCUGCCACCAAAAUCCCAACUCUCUGUCAUCAAGUGCGACACAACCUGCGACUCGCAGGUUCAACAUGCGACUCGCAGGUUCAACAUGCGACUCGCAUGUUCAACAUGCGACUCGCAUGUAGUGUCGCAUAUGGGCCAAUUCGAUUCUUUUUUUUUUUUUUUUUUUUUUUU